AACGAACGCUGGCGGCAGGCCUAACACAUGCAAGUCGAGCGCCCCGCAAGGGGAGCGGCGGACGGGUGGGUAACGCGUGGGAAUAUGCCCUUUGCUACGGAAUAGUCUCGGGAAACUGGGGGUAAUACCGUAUACGCCCUUUGGGGGAAAGAUUUAUCGGCGAAGGAUUAGCCCGCGUUGGAUUAGGUAGUUGGUGGGGUAAUGGCCUACCAAGCCGACGAUCCAUAGCUGGUUUGAGAGGAUGAUCAGCCACACUGGGACUGAGACACGGCCCAGACUCCUACGGGAGGCAGCAGUGGGGAAUCUUAGACAAUGGGGGCAACCCUGAUCUAGCCAUGCCGCGUGAGUGAUGAAGGCCUUAGGGUUGUAAAGCUCUUUCAGCUGGGAAGAUAAUGACGGUACCAGCAGAAGAAGCCCCGGCUAACUCCGUG
RNAcentral lists this ribosomal RNA (431 nucleotides) under uncultured bacterium. RNAcentral's name for it is "partial 16S ribosomal RNA". It matches the Rfam family "Bacterial small subunit ribosomal RNA", at positions 29 to 507 of the family's 1533-position model. The record is from RNAcentral.